ACGCUGGCGGCACGCCUUAUACAUGCAAGUCGAACGGAGUAGCAAUACUUAGUGGCAGACGGGUGAGUAACAUGUGGGAAUCUUCCCUUUGGUGAGGAAUAACACGAGGAAACUUGUGCUAAUACCUCAUAAGUCUUUACGGAGAAAGCUUUAUGCGCCAAUGGAUGAGCCCGCACUUGAUUAGUUUGUUGGUGGGGUAAUGGCCUACCAAGACUUUGAUCAAUAGCUGAUUUGAGAGGAUGAUCAGCCACAUUGGGACUGAGAUACGGCCCAAACUUCUACGGAAGGCAGCAGUAGGGAAUCUUGCACAAUGGAGGAAACUCUGAUGCAGCGAUGCCGCGUGAGUGAAGAAGGCCCUUGGGUUGUAAAGCUCUUUCGUCGGGGAAGAAAAUGACUGUACCCGAAUAAGAAGGUCCGGCUAACUUCGUGCCAGCAGCCGCGGUAAUACGAAGGGACCUAGCGUAGUUCGGAAUUACUGGGCUUAAAGAGUUCGUAGGUUGUUAAAAAAGUUGGUGGUGAAAUCCCAGAGCUUAACUCUGGAACUGCCAUCAAAACUUUUUAGCUAGAGUAUGAUAGAGGAAAGCAGAAUUUCUAGUGUAGAGGUGAAAUUCGUAGAUAUUAGAAAGAAUACCAAUUGCGAAGGCAGCUUUCUGGAUCAUUACUGACACUGAGGAACGAAAGCAUGGGUAGCGAAGAGGAUUAGAUACCCUCGUAGUCCAUGCCGUAAACGAUGUGUGUUAGACGUUGGAAAUUUAUUUUCAGUGUCGCAGCGAAAGCAAUAAACACACCGCCUGGGGAGUACGACCGC
Molecule: ribosomal RNA, 808 nt
Filed under: uncultured Pelagibacteraceae bacterium
Lineage: Bacteria; Pseudomonadati; Pseudomonadota; Alphaproteobacteria; Candidatus Pelagibacterales; Candidatus Pelagibacteraceae
Description: bacterial SSU rRNA
Rfam family: Bacterial small subunit ribosomal RNA
Source: RNAcentral